This is a long non-coding RNA of Polypterus senegalus (gray bichir), 3171 nucleotides long. RefSeq lists it as uncharacterized. The transcript has 4 exons. The record is from RefSeq and is a predicted model, not a curated record. Lineage: Eukaryota; Metazoa; Chordata; Cladistia; Polypteriformes; Polypteridae.
CAAACACCAAGUAUUUUAUUGCACCUUUUUAGUUUUUACACUAUUACACAGUUUAUAUUUUCCAUUUUCAACCCUUCCCUUUACUUAAAGAAAUAAAAAAAUUAAAAUAGAUACUUACCUUAAAACAACUUACCUGUAGAUCCUGUCAAAAUUCUGGUCACAUCCUGAGGGCUUGAGAGACAGUUUAGUUAAUCAACCUUCGGAAAACACAGAAGUUUUAUUGACUUGGAGGAUGUCUACCCCACCGGUCCAGAGGGUUUAUUUUCAACUGUUUCAGGCCAUUCAUCAUUUGGAGAUUUUGUCAGGUCCGGAGCCGCCUAAAGGGUCUGAGAACGUCUCUUCGUGUCCGGUUCCCGUCAAGCCCGCGGUGGUCCAGUGUCUCUUUUGCCCAGGCGUAUUUCUCUUAUCUUAUCCUCACUAUAGGGUGCCCGGUUCCCAUCGAGCCAGUAGUGGUCCAGUGUCCCUUUGCCCCGGCAUCCGUCUGAAGCUCGAGAGCCGAGCCAUUUCAAGGCGGCGUCAACGUCUCGCCACAUCGGAGGAGUCGUCAAUGCACUGACUUCCAAAUGAAAGCUGGAAAAGUUUGAUGAGGAAGGGGCAGGAGAACAGAUGAAGUCAAAAAACAAAAUGUGGAGAAGGUCGAAACCGAAGAGAGGAAGAACAAAAGGAGAAACACUGACCCAGAGCUCAAAGCUGAAGCACACAAUCUCGAUUAGACGAGCACCACCAGACGCGACUGCCCCGAUACCAUCCGAUUUUGUUUUUCGCUUCUUUCUUGGCUCUUUUGGUUCGUGUAAAGGUUUUGACGGUUGCUGAAUCUUAUUUUGAUAACAUUUGAUUGUAGACACUUCUACUCAACGAUGUUUAAAAUAUUUGAACGUCUUUUUAGUGACACUGUUUUGUUUUUCCUUUGGGUGCCGCCAUUUUGAGUUUAGUGUGUGUACCGUUGCUAGCCACGUUGCUAUGAAGGAUGACCAGAGGUCACGACCCCUGAUGUCACAAUGCAUCAGGGUAUAAUAGGCCGAGCAGACAUCCCAUUUUUUUUUUUUUUCCCCCCGAGAUGGUCCUGCGCUUAUGUCUCGUGUCCCAGAAUGUAACAGAAUGUCCCGUUUUUUUAAUCAACCAAAACUCCCACUUCGAUUUAAACUACGCUGGAAACAAAAGUGUUGUGUCUCGCUUUGGAACAACGAAAGUCCGCUCGGCACAAACACUUCCUGCUUGUCCGAGUUGUGGAUACACGUCUUUGGUGGUGCGCACAUUUUGCUUAUCGAUCUCCUGGCUCGGCUUUGGGGCUUUUUUUCUGAUUUCUGGUAUUUUGAAUCGGUUUGACGACAGAUCAGUCGGACUUCCUGCUGUUGAACUUUACCAGGCUCUAGACGAGAGCCUCCCAACCACUGGGUGGCGCUGUGGGUCGUGAGUUGCUGUUCAUUAUAAUGGUAAUGAGUUGCAAUGGCCUGUGGCGCUCCAACGAUUACGCUCAAUCUGCUCUGACAUACCAAGGGGGACGCCCCCCCUCCACUCCACAGUGUGGACCCCAAUCCCCCUUCGGUGGGACGUGGAGACACUUACAUAAGAGAAAGGGGGCUACAACACCAAACAGGCUGGGACACACAGCUACAGAGUGCAGUUCAUUGGCUGAUUCCUCCUCAUGAAACAUUCUGUGUGGCAGAACCGUCCCGGUGCAUUGUGGGAAGUGUUACCAUUGGCAACAAGCAACACGAAAUCUUCAAAAUGGGGGCUCCUGUUGGAAAAAACAAAACGACAUUGAAAACACCGUUUUAAAAAAAAUGACUUUUGAAUGAGGUCUCCAAACGAAAUACCAGAGAAGAGGAACGGAUUCACUGGAUUUGAAGACCCCUGAAAAAGUCGUGGAGCUCGUUUUUAAAAACUUCAAGAAAGCCCAAGAAAAAGUAAAUAUAAGCGAGCGCAGUCAGCGUCCAUCGUACUCGUGUAAUCUGAGCACCCACGUCGCGGCAAGUCGACCAAACCGAACGACUCGUGCAGUCUGAGCACAUUUACGACUGGCGAGUCCAGCGUGCCAGGUGAGUAGAUGCUUAACCUGGCAUACUGGUAAGCAAUGCCACAAGUGCCAUAGAAAACAACCCUUCUGUGCCCGCUAUGUUGUGAAGGGUGACCAAUCAGGGAAUGAGAUGUUGUAAUGAGCAGGAGCCAAUCAGAGAAGGGCCAACCGGAGCGUGAUGGAGUCUGCGUUUUCAGAAACCUUUCUUUUCACCCAUCAACACUGAAACGCUGCCAGGCGCUGGAAGACGUUUUCAGAAGUCAUCGCCUUCGUGAUUUGAGAAUGCCAGGGUAUGAAGGACAAAAGGUGAAAUUGGAGACAAGCGUCGGCGCUGUUAAACCAAAGCGUAGUAGUGUGGACGCUGCCCUUCUCUACGCUGCGUUUGUUCACACGUCUUUUGUUUCAACGCCCUUUGUGUUCUGCCAGAGUCUCGGGGUAUCUCAGACUGGAUGGCAAACUUUCAGAAAAUGACAACAAAAAGUGUCAUAUGUGUUAGGGUGGAGUCAACCUUCCUUUGGCACAACGGGGAACCUGCAGUGCCAGCAUCAGAAAAGGUGCCAUACGGGCAGAGAGCAGUAGGUGGCAGAUUCUCCACUUUUUAAUAUUAAAGACCAGCAGGAGGCGCUCAUUAUCUCCAGUUUCUAUAAGUUUCCCCCAUUUAACAAAAGGACAAUUGUCAUAGUGUCUGUGUGUCUGUCCGGCUGCCAUGUCUCUGUUGCAUGCCUUUUGGUAUGGGAUUCAUAAAAGUAGCACCAUCUGUUGGAAUGACAACGACAACGCAUUUUACUACUACAUGUGUUACAGAACAGAUUUCCAUAGAUGGUGCACUGCAAACAUUAGCACUGAAUACGCUGACAUCUAUGGUGACCACUCAGAUUUCAGCCCGUCUUACACGGAAGCACAGCUUGUCAUUGGCAUAAAGUAGCACAUCCGACUCCUAAUAUCACAGGGCAGUAGCAGACACUGUCACCAGUUAAUUCAAUUAACCGUAGGAGGUGCCAUCUCCACAUUAUACCGGUCGAGAAAUGUAGGUGGCGCUGUUUCUUUUUCACAGCACUUGACACCAGCAGGAGGUGCUGUCCUCAGUUUGUACAAUGGAGGAAGAGCACAAGGUGCUUUCUUCGAGUCCUAAAAUUAAAGAACAGUAGGGGGCG